Molecule: small RNA, 549 nt
Filed under: Pongo abelii (Sumatran orangutan)
Lineage: Eukaryota; Metazoa; Chordata; Mammalia; Primates; Hominidae
Description: processed transcript
Source: RNAcentral
UUUUUCUGGGGUUAGCUAUAGAGAGAGGAGCCCCGCCUCAGUCUUUUCUUUAGGGGCAGCACCUUCUAUUACAGUCCCGGGAUCCCAAAGCACGCUAUUUGGGUUUGGUAGAGAAAACCAGGUGUAAAGGACUCUGUCUACUAGUGACGAUGUUGAAGACAGAGAAAAUGAAAAGGGUCGCCUUGAAGAAGCCUACGAGAAAUGUGACCGUGACCUGGAUGAAUUGAUUGUGCAGCACUACACAGAACUGACGACAGCCAUUCGCACAUACCAGAGCAUCACAGAGCGCAUCACUAACUCCCGAAAUAAAAUAAAGCAGGUAAAAGAGAACCUACUUUCAUGUAAGAUGCUGCUGCACUGCAAACGGGAUGAGCUUCGGAAACUAUGGAUUGAAGGAAUUGAGCAUAAACAUGUCCUGAACUUGUUGGAUGAAAUUGAGAAUAUCAAGCAAGUGCCUCAAAAGCUGGAACAGUGCAUGGCCAGCAAGCACUAUCUCAGUGCCACUGACAUGCUGGUGUCAGCAGUUGAGUCUUUGGAGGGCCCCCUGCU